GUGCCAGCAGCCGCGGUAAGACGAAGGUGGCAACCGUUGCUCGGAUUCACUGGGCAUAAAGCGCGCGUAGGUGGCUAGGCAGGUCACUGGUGAAAUCCCACGGCUCAACCGUGGACCCGCCAGUGAAACCGCCUUGCUUGAGGACGAGAGGGGAGAAUGGAACUCUUGGUGUAGCGGUGAAAUGCGUAGAUAUCAAGAGGAACGCCGGUGGCGAAAGCGAUUCUCUGGAUCGUUCCUGACACUGAGGCGCGAAAGCUAGGGGAGCAAACAGGAUUAGAAACCCGCGUAGUCC
RNAcentral lists this ribosomal RNA (292 nucleotides) under uncultured bacterium. Its description in RNAcentral is "partial 16S ribosomal RNA". It matches the Rfam family "Bacterial small subunit ribosomal RNA", at positions 505 to 796 of the family's 1533-position model. The record is from RNAcentral.